Schizosaccharomyces pombe (fission yeast) is the source of this 693-nucleotide non-coding RNA. The record is from the annotation of a GenBank genome assembly. NCBI's taxonomy places the organism in Eukaryota, Fungi, Ascomycota, Schizosaccharomycetes, Schizosaccharomycetales, Schizosaccharomycetaceae.
ACAGAACCAUUGGCUGCACUCGUAGAGGUAAAUCGAAGAACGUAAUUACCAGUAUCAGUAAAAAAUUCACGAGGAAGCCCCAUGAAAUUCCGUGAAACACUACCUAGGAUGCGAUCCUGCUCGUUUCGCAACAGAAACUCCCAACUUAGCACUCGCUCAUCAAUUUUGGCAAACUGUUCAAACAUAGAACGCUUCGCAAGGAACAAUUCAUAGCGACGGCGCCAUAAAUGCCAUUUUUGAAGGACUUCGCCAACUAAAGUAGACGAGAACUUACUGUAAUCAAUAGAAUGAAUUUGUAACCGGGAGUUUAUCCAAGAAAAUGGUCGAUUGAGUUGUAACACCAACUGGCCGUUACUGUCCAUUACAUCUGCCUUAAACGCACGAUGUGUGUGGAAAAAUUGUCUUGAUAAACUUGAUAAUAUGGAUGAGGCACCCUGUUCUGCAAUGUAUCCAAGAUGCUGACCUUGUUGGUUAAGAAUUACAUAGCGGUUAGCCUGUUCAUAACCAAGAAAAACAUUCAUCAUUUCAAGUUGCCUCUCUACUAUAAGAACAUCUUGUGAUAAUAAAGGGGCCGCUGGAGAAUUUAAUGGAAUAGCUCCAGUACUGCUAAUGGCAGCAGGCUCUUGAGAGACUACUUUCGCUGUAGCGUCAAUGUAUCGUGUAGAUUUGCUAUGAUGAUAAAGGCGACAUCCA